GGGGGCGGCCGAGACCGCAAUUCCCGUCACGGAGUGCGCCCUCUAGCGCGGGGCGGAAGACCCGCGAAGUGUUCAAGCGGCCGCAGAGCGGCCCAGAGUUCGCAGGUCUGGGGCUCUUCCCAGAGAGCUCGUAGGGGAAGACAGUCAAGGGACUCAAGCGUCUCUCUUGACUCCCCUUCUCUCGCUGUGCAGUGGCGGCGCCGAGGGGUCGACGCUCAGGGCUAAUCUCUAUGAGUCACCCUCGAGGCCCCGGGUAAUAUUGGGUGGAUCACAAGAACUAAUCUUUCAUGAUUUGGAAACUGGAAGGAAAGAAGCACUUUUGUAGCUGACUCACCUCAAUGGCAUGACCAGUGUCUGAGCCUACAACUGCGCUACCUUCUCUGGAUUUUUCUUCACCUUUUCCAUACUCAUGAGCCAGAACGGCAUGUCCAAGGAGCUAUACAUUUGCUAGAAGGGGAUGACCAAUUCAGCUCUGAGUUUCCUGGGAGCCAAAGCCAAGAGCUCCAUGUCCACAAGAUCGAAGACCAAGUACUCAGAAGAACAGCUUUUCCUGAUACUAGGAGUUAAGAGAAGCUUUCUCCAGGAACCUUCAUAGAGACAACCUUGCAUGAUGCAGUGGACAGCACCCUUAGCAUGCUCCACAAGGGUCAUUCUGCAGUCUCUUUCAGCACUGGAUAACGGCACUCUGUCUCAAAGGUAGACUCUAAGUUGAUAGCAUCCUUAGACUCUGUCCUAAUAUUACCAAGAACACAAUUUAGCAUAUGUACCCCCCUCAAUGGGGGACCCUCCUACCAUCCUGCAAGAAAUCCUCUGUGAGACUAGACCUUGGGUGAGAACAGACAACAGGGAGUUGGAGGCUUCAUUCUCUGGCACCAGUUAGCCUGGUGGGGAGAAUUUCCGCAUGCCUGGCGGUGCAGUUGAGAUAAUCCACAAAGCUGAAGGCAGGGUCAACAAUCUCCCAUGCAAGUUAAGGACACCUAGGCAAGUGCGUGUAUGCCUGAGGGCAGGACCAACACAUUUCCCAGGAAACCACACAGCACAGACUGGUUAAGAAUGUGAGCUGUUUGGCGCUGGAUCACGCCUGUAAUCCCAGCACUUUGGGAGGCCAAGGCUGGUGGAUUACUUGAGGUCAGGAGUUUGAGACCAGCCUGACCAAUAUGAUGAAACCCUCUCUCUACUAAAAAUACAAAAAUUAGCUGGACGUGGUGGUGCAUGCCUGUAAUCCCAGCUACUCGGGAGGCUGAGGCAAGAGAAUCACUUGAACCCAGGAGGCGGAGGUUGCAGUGAGCCAAGAUUGUGCCAUUGCAUCCCAGCCUGGGCGACAGAGUGAGACUCUGUCUCAAAAGAAGAAAAAGAGUGUGGGCUAUGAGCUCACAAAAUUUGGAUUAAAAUCCCGGUUUUAUCACUUUCUAGGUAUUUGACCUUGGGUAAGUUUCCUCAGAUAUAAAAGGAGGAUAGUAACAGUAGCUCACUUAUGGGGUUGCUGAAAAAAAAAAUACAAUAAUGUGGUAAACCAUUAAGGACAAAUACCUAGUACAAAAUAACGCUCACAGAACAUUGGGAAUUAUUGAUAACAUUAUUGUAAUAUUUAAAAAUAAAUGAAAAAUUAAUAGGCACACAUUUAAACACAUGGAAAAUGGACAUUUGGAACUCUAGAGUUUUCUGCCAUAAAACAUGGCUACAAUAAUUUAAGUCUAGAAAAAUGUGGAAGGGGGAAUAACUAUCCAAUAAAGGGGGAAUAAUUAUCCAAUAAAAUCCUCCCAAACACCCAUAAAUAUUACUUCCUGCAAAAUCAUUCAAGAAGUAUUUGCUACACAAUGUAACAGAAAACAAGUGAUUUGAUUCUACUUAAUAUAUCUUUGACAAUAAAUUGAUUAAGUCUUGGGUGAAAUUUAUGGAAAAUAAUUUUUUUUUAAGGAGAAUUGCUGUUCAGCCAUUCUUACUGAUAAUAGUCAACAGGGCCAUCUAUCUGAUAAGUUCAUUUCUAGUUCACAGCAUUGACCCAUCCACAGAGUGGAGAAUUGUGCCCUUUCAUUCUCUAGAGUGGUUAAUGAUGUCAGGAGUUGUAUUUUUGACUCAAUAAAGUGAAAAUAUUUACUUUUAAAAUAA
Gorilla gorilla gorilla (western lowland gorilla) is the source of this 2109-nucleotide long non-coding RNA. RefSeq lists it as uncharacterized. NCBI's taxonomy places the organism in Eukaryota, Metazoa, Chordata, Mammalia, Primates, Hominidae. The record is from RefSeq and is a predicted model, not a curated record. The transcript is spliced from 3 exons.